This 465-nucleotide ribosomal RNA is filed under the name uncultured Klebsiella sp. RNAcentral describes it as "bacterial SSU rRNA". It matches the Rfam family "Bacterial small subunit ribosomal RNA", at positions 338 to 795 of the family's 1533-position model. The record is from RNAcentral. Lineage: Bacteria; Pseudomonadati; Pseudomonadota; Gammaproteobacteria; Enterobacterales; Enterobacteriaceae.
CCUACGGGGGGCAGCAGUGGGGAAUAUUGCACAAUGGGCGCAAGCCUGAUGCAGCCAUGCCGCGUGUGUGAAGAAGGCCUUCGGGUUGUAAAGCACUUUCAGCGGGGAGGAAGGCGGUGAGGUUAAUAACCUCAUCGAUUGACGUUACCCGCAGAAGAAGCACCGGCUAACUCCAUGCCAGCAGCCGCGGUAAUACGGAGGGUGCAAGCGUUAAUCGGAAUUACUGGGCGUAAAGCGCACGCAGGCGGUCUGUCAAGUCGGAUGUGAAAUCCCCGGGCUCAACCUGGGAACUGCAUUCGAAACUGGCAGGCUAGAGUCUUGUAGAGGGGGGUAGAAUUCCAGGUGUAGCGGUGAAAUGCGUAGAGAUCUGGAGGAAUACCGGUGGCGAAGGCGGCCCCCUGGACAAAGACUGACGCUCAGGUGCGAAAGCGUGGGGAGCAAACAGGAUUAAAUACCCGUGUAGUC